GAUAUCGUAGCGAAGUGGUAACGUAUUUGACUGAAUCAAAGCUCCUAGGAGGCGCAGGUUCGAAUCCUGCCGAUAUCG
This is a transfer RNA of Dictyostelium discoideum AX4, 78 nucleotides long. It matches the Rfam family "tRNA". From Rfam's summary of the family: Transfer RNA (tRNA) molecules are approximately 80 nucleotides in length. The record is from Rfam. NCBI's taxonomy places the organism in Eukaryota, Evosea, Eumycetozoa, Dictyosteliales, Dictyosteliaceae.